This 24-nucleotide non-coding RNA is filed under the name Arabidopsis thaliana (thale cress). The record is from RNAcentral. Lineage: Eukaryota; Viridiplantae; Streptophyta; Magnoliopsida; Brassicales; Brassicaceae.
AAUUCGAUCUCGAUUAUCUCAGGA